UAGUAGCUGAGGUGCAGAUAGACAAUUCAACCUCCAUUGAAUAGCAAUUAUAGCAUGCAGAUUAAGAAGAUUGCGUCCAGGUCGAGACAUCAGCAAACAAGACAUGAUGGAAACCAAAAGAAUAUUAAAAAAAAAAAAGAUUUAACGCUUAGAACACUCAGAGUAUCUCAUUCUCUAGGGUACCAUAGAAGAUCUCUAUCAAGAAAGGAGAUAUUGAACUGUAAAUCGAGUUCAGAGUUAAAUGCUAUUAACAAACUGAGCUACAAGCCUUUUAUUCAUCAAAUUAUUUUGUCAUUAAUGACAACAAUUACUAGCAACAAAGAUUCCGUUGAGAGAUGCUUGGUAUCUUGUGAAACAUAAUGCCAAAUAGAAGAAGCAAAACUACAGCACAAGUCCAAA
RNAcentral lists this long non-coding RNA (399 nucleotides) under Malus domestica (apple). RNAcentral describes it as "long non-coding RNA (MDOM_LNC005504)". Lineage: Eukaryota; Viridiplantae; Streptophyta; Magnoliopsida; Rosales; Rosaceae. The record is from RNAcentral.